GGAACAGAAAGAUGGAGUCAGCUCCCUUCUUUCCCAAUUGGUGCCCCAUGUGAGGACAUUCCAAUCCUGACCACGUUUGGAAGCUGCGCACAUGGGGUUCAGCCUUGAUCCUGUGGAUAUGACAUAUGGUCACAUGUCAGGAAAUCAUUUGUGAGUAAAAGGGACAUAAAGCACACUACAUUGCACCAGAAUGGAGAGAUGUCAGCAUCACUCAUCCAUGAGGCUUGGGAAGGAAAUUCCAUUGUAUUGAAGCAGGAAUUCUACCAAUUAAGAAGGACAAAUUUAUUUUAAAUGAUUACACUCAAGAAUGUGUCUAUAUUAAGUGAAACUUCAUGGAAAAGCAUAAAAAUGACAUGGAGAAUGACGGCAAAAGAAAGUGUUGGCAUCUUCAAAAUCCAAAGAUUUUUGACCAAGGACAUAGUGGA
Molecule: long non-coding RNA, 425 nt
Organism: Choloepus didactylus (southern two-toed sloth)
Lineage: Eukaryota; Metazoa; Chordata; Mammalia; Pilosa; Megalonychidae
Exons: 3
Source: RefSeq, a predicted model, not a curated record